Molecule: long non-coding RNA, 128 nt
Organism: Homarus americanus (American lobster)
Lineage: Eukaryota; Metazoa; Arthropoda; Malacostraca; Decapoda; Nephropidae
Exons: 3
Source: RefSeq, a predicted model, not a curated record
CUGAGAGGUAGACUCACCUGAGAGGUAGACUCACCUGAGAGGUAGACUCACCUGAGAGGUAGACUCCACCUGAGAGGUAGACUCACCUGAGAGGUAGACUCACCUGAGAGGUAGACUCACCUGAGAGG